Molecule: ribosomal RNA, 204 nt
Filed under: Listeria monocytogenes
Lineage: Bacteria; Bacillati; Bacillota; Bacilli; Caryophanales; Listeriaceae
Description: partial 16S ribosomal RNA
Rfam family: Bacterial small subunit ribosomal RNA
Source: RNAcentral
GGUUUAAUUCGAAGCAACGCGAAGAACCUUACCAGGUCUUGACAUCCUUUGACCACUCUGGAGACAGAGCUUUCCCUUCGGGGACAAAGUGACAGGUGGUGCAUGGUUGUCGUCAGCUCGUGUCGUGAGAUGUUGGGUUAAGUCCCGCAACGAGCGCAACCCUUGAUUUUAGUUGCCAGCAUUUAGUUGGGCACUCUAAAGUGA